Molecule: long non-coding RNA, 1932 nt
Organism: Daphnia pulex (common water flea)
Lineage: Eukaryota; Metazoa; Arthropoda; Branchiopoda; Diplostraca; Daphniidae
Exons: 7
Source: RefSeq, a predicted model, not a curated record
AUAAAAUAUAUUUUUUAAAUCUAAAUGAAUUUUUUGUAUCAGACUGAAUGAGAUUCAUGGGUUGCUGACAGAAGAACUCCACUGAUAAUAGAACCCCAAUAUUUUAAAGAAUUUUUUAAAAUUUCUUUGUAUGCGACAGUAGAACUCCAACGACAGUAGAUGAGUAGAACUCCAAAAGAAAUAAGAACUCACUUUUUAAGUAUUAUUAAAACUACCCGACAAUAGAACUCCAGUGCCCGGCAGUAGAACUCCACUAAACGACAAUAGAACUCCAACUAUUUUUUAAUUAUUUUCAUGGCCGACAGUAGAACUCCAUUGAAUUUUAAAUAUUUUAAAUGUCCGUCAAUAGAAUUCCAACGAUUUUAAAAUUACAUUCCUCUGUAAAUCAUAGCUGGCGGUUUAUUUUAGAAAGAGUUAUUAAAUAUAAAAACAGAAGCAGCUGUAGCCCCACGUGAAGGUCGGGGAGCUACUCUACUUAGUUAACAUCAAUGACAAACGUGAAAAAAACGUGAAUAAAUGGUUAAAUUACUUAAUCGACCGCUAGAUGUCCUGAAUACUUAAUCGACCGCUAGAUGUCCUGAACUGGCAAUGCCUAUCAUGUUGCUGCGGUAACGCCUAAUGUGAUUGCCGCGUUAUUGAGUUAAUUCUUAAUUGGAUUUAUAUUAUUCUGGAGAAAUAAAAUCACAUAUUCCCAUAUGACUGUAGACUGAAACUGUACAGUACCUGAUGUUGUUGCUUGCUAAAGUUGUUAUAAAGCAAGCAUGGCUGGUAUGCUACGUGAAAACCACAAGAAAAUUGUCUAUCUUCAUAACCAUAUGCUGAAUGUUCCUUUUAAUCACAUCUUCCGUUGCAUAAUUGCAUCUUUGUAGCCCGACAGUUGUGGAAUCAUAUGCACAGUGCAGGUUCAUUCAUGCUGUGAAUGAUGAAUGCUUCUGUAUCAUGCAUGUUAGGGUGUACCUCCUACAGCAGAUGGAGGAUGUUUGGGAGGGAAGAUAUUGACGACCCUACCUGACCCUACAAAGCCAGAGUGUCAUGGUUGUUCUUCACUGCUGACCUGCAUAAACAGCCAUCAAAAGUUCAUUCAUGCCCGUGAAUGAUAGAUGCUUCUGUAUCAUGCAUAUUUCGGUGUGUGGAAGUAGUUGUGAAAUAUUAAGGACCAUAUACCCUGCACUUUCGCCUUACAUCAGGAAGAUUUAAUUAAGCAGAAACCUUCGUACAGCAGAUCGAGAUUGAAGAGAAGAAAUUGACGAUUCCAGCAAGAGUGUCUGAUUCAUCUUUGUGUCGAUGUUUGGCGAGGAAAUUGACGACCCAACAAGAGCGAUACUGAGAGAGCGUCGUUCUUCAGAAGUGACCUGCAUCAACGCCUGUAAAAAAUUCUGGAAUCAGACUGAACGAGAUUUUGCUUCCGGAAGAAAAACUGCGAUAACAGGGGCAUACAGACUACCACACGUUCAACGCGGGUCAUCUAUUUCUGUUGUUGGUAAUAUGUUUUUGUUAGUUAAUCCGUUGGUUGCCACGCCUUUGUUCUCCCCUAGCUCCUUAGCACGGGCCGCGCUGUUCGGUCUCGUGGUUUACAUGCCGCGGGGUCGGACAGUCGCACCAGCCCAAGAUUCGCCGAAAGGCCCCGUUAGGCAAUGCACCAUAGGGACUUCCCCCUUGUCGAUACGGUGAUGGAUUCUAGAGGUUGUGCAUUCCAUCUUCUCCCAUCACCGUGUCAGCCCGGACUUGUCAGCAAUGGCAAGUCCCACCUUGGUCAUGGAUCCUUCAGACGUGACGCGUAGAGUAGUAGAAGAACAACCUACGGGUUGUAUGGCGUGGCAGCCAACGGGUUAACUAAGUGUAUGUGUGUAUGUAUGUAUGUAUUUAUGUGACUGUAAAAUGUGGUGGAAUUGUGGGUGGAGGUGGGACAAUAUAACACAAUUCUUUUUAUAA